RNAcentral lists this ribosomal RNA (113 nucleotides) under Pseudoramichloridium brasilianum. Its description in RNAcentral is "partial 18S small subunit ribosomal RNA". It matches the Rfam family "Eukaryotic small subunit ribosomal RNA", at positions 1720 to 1830 of the family's 1831-position model. Lineage: Eukaryota; Fungi; Ascomycota; Dothideomycetes; Capnodiales. The record is from RNAcentral.
UCAGGGAGGUCGGCAACGACCACCCAGAGCCGGAAAGUUGGUCAAACUCGGUCAUUUAGAGGAAGUAAAAGUCGUAACAAGGUCUCCGUAGGUGAACCUGCGGAGGGAUCAUU